RNAcentral lists this ribosomal RNA (2958 nucleotides) under Pneumocystis sp. 'ludovicianus'. RNAcentral describes it as "large subunit ribosomal RNA". It matches the Rfam family "Bacterial large subunit ribosomal RNA". Lineage: Eukaryota; Fungi; Ascomycota; Pneumocystomycetes; Pneumocystales; Pneumocystaceae. The record is from RNAcentral.
UAAAGUUGUGUUUUUACUAGUGAAUGUAGAGAUAUGAUUUUGUGUUUAUAAGUUUAUAAAGAGAUUAUUAAGGAUGACUAGCUAAUAUAUUAAGGAGGUGUAAACCAAAUUCAUGAUUAUUUAUAUGUUAUCAUGUAAAUCCUAAGGGGAAACCCAUAAAAGUAUACGAAGUGAAGUGAAACAUCUUAGUAACUUUAGGAAAAUAAAUCAACCGAGAUUUCAUUAGUAGUGGUGAGCGAAAGUGAAUUAGCCUAUAAUACUUAGUUGUCCUAGUUUGUGAAAAGAAAAUAUUUUUACGAAAUUCUAUGUAAGGAUGGAUUUCCAUUUUGAAAAGUUGGAAAGCUUUUGAACGUAUGUUUAUUAUGUUUAUGAGAAGCAAAAUAAGGUGAAAGCCCAAUAAGUAAUGGAUUAAGUAUUUAAUAAAGUAGAAUGAGAGAGAACUUGUUUGAAUUUGUUAUAUUAUCGGUAUUGUAUAAUUAAUAUUGAUAAUAAGUAGGGGAACUAUCCUCUAAGGCUAAAUAUAAUAUAUUAAGCGAUAGUGAAGAGUACCGUGAGGGAAAGUUGAAAAGAGUAUAGUAUAUUAUAUGUUAGUAAGUAAUGUAUAAUGUUAUUAGUAAAGUGAAAUAGAUCUUGAAUUAGUAAUCUUAUAAGCAGCCAGAGGGUUUAGUCUGAUGGCGUACCUUUUGCAUAAUGGGUCAGUAAGUUAAUAUUAGAUGUAAGCCGUAAGGCCUAAAGAAAUUGAUUCUUAUAAGGGAUAAAGUAUAGAUUUAAUUUAUAUGUUAGUAUAUAAGUUAAAAUUUAUUUGAAUAUCUGGUAUUAGACCCGAAACCUAGUGAUCUUACCAUGAUUAGAUGUAAGAUUGAACCGGUGUGCGUAGUAAAGUGCUCGGAUGAAUUGUGGUAAGGAGUGAAAUACAAAUCGGACUAGGAUAUAGCUGGUUUUCUGCGAAAUCUGUUUUAGCAGAUUGUUUAUAGCAUUAUUUAUAAGUAGGUAUAGCACUGAAUAUCUAGUUUGUUAACGAGAAGAGAGUAUGAAAGUAUUUGUCUUAGAUAUUUAAUCUCAGAAUGAUUUAUAAGUAUAAUAAACAGUCGGACUCUACGCGAUAAGGUGUAGAGUCAAGAGGGAAACAGCCCAGAAUAGUAAUUAAAGCUCUAAAAUUAUUGCUAAGUGAAAUAAAAGAAGUAAUUCUUCUAAGACAAUCAUGAAGUGGGCUUGGAAACAGCCAUCUUUUAAAAAACACGUAAUAGUGUAGUGAUCUAUUGAGUAAUUGCGCUUAAAAUAUACGGAUCUAAGUAAUAUGCUGAAAUACUAUUAUCUUGUUAAAAUAGUGCAAGGGUAUAUAUAUAUGUAUAUUAAGGUAUACAAUGUAUAGAUUAUUAAGACAAGAUGGGUAGCAGAACAUUUAGUAGAUGGAGGAAGAAUAAUAUUGUAUUAUUUGGACAUAACUAAAGAGAGAAUGCUGACAUGAGUAACGUUAAAGCAGGUGAGAAUCCUGUUCGCCGUAAACGGAAGGUUUUUAUAGUAAAGCUUAACUUCUAUAAGUAAAUAAGGUCUCUAACAGUAUCUCUAAGGAGUAAUGGAUGAGUAAAUAUAUGAAAGGUUAAUAAAUUAACCCAGGAAAAGGUAUAUUAUAUGACUGUACUAAAACCGACACAGGUCCGUGGAUAAAGUAUAUUAAGGCGUAUGAGAGAAUUAUUGCGAAGGAACUCGGCAAAGAUAUUUCGUAAUUUCGAGACAAGAAGUACCUCUAAAAGGGGGUGUCACAGAAUUUUGUUGUACAACUGUUUACUUAAAACACAGUACUUUGCAAAGAAGAAAUUCAUAGUAUAAAGUAUGAGAUCUGCCCAAUGCUACAGAUGAAUUAUAAGGUUUGGUAGAUUAUAAUUAUCAAAUAUAUAUUAGUCUUAGUGAAUGGCGGCCUUAACUAUAAGGGUCCUAAGGUAGCGAAAUUCCUUGGCCGUUAAAUGCGGUCCCGCAUGAAUGAUUUAAUGAUACAACAACUGUCUCCGCAAUAAACUCAGUGAAAUUGGAAUAGCCGUGAAGAUACGGUUUAUGUGUAGAAAGACGGGAAGACCCUAUGCAGCUUUACUGUUAUUAAUUAUUGUAAUAAAUUCUUAUAUUUGUAGUAUAUAAGGUGGUUGAUUAGACGUAAAUGAAAUACCUUUAAUGUAAGAAGUUAAUGCUAACUGGUAAUUCAGGACAGUGGUUAAUAGACAGUUUAUGUGGGGCGCAUAUCUCAAAAAAAGUAUCUGAGAUGUCCGAAGGUGAAGUAAAAUUGGAUGGUAACCAAUGAAUGUUAAUUGCAAAAAUUAAUAUCCAGGUAUGGAUCAUGAAAGAUUAAAGAAAGUGUAAUGGUAUAACUUUGCUUAACAGUGAGACUGACAAGUCGAUCUGAUACGUAAGUAGGGCAUAGUGACCCUCGUAUUUCAAUAUGGAAUGGUACGAGAUCAACGAAUAAAAGCUACGCUAGGGAUAACAGGGUAAUUUCGUGUGAGAGACCAUAUUGACCACGAAGUUUGCCACCUCGAUGUCGACUCAACCUAUCCUCCUGGAGUAGAAUAUGGGAAGGGUUCGGCUGUUCGCCGAUUAAAAGGUUACGUGAGUUGGGUUAAAAACGUUGUGAAACAGUUUGGUUCCUAUCUUCUAUGCAUAGUAUAAGUUAAAGAAGAAUUUAUUCUAUGUACGCAAGGAUCAGAAUAUCUUAACCUCUGGUAAAACUGUUGUUUAAAUUGUGUGAUUCCUUAGUGAAAAUUUUAUUGAGGUUUCUUAUAAUUAUAGCAUGGCAGUAAAGCUAAGUUGGGAAAGAAUAAAAUUUGAAAGCAUAUUAAAAUUGAAGUCUAUCUUCGGCAACUUACAAUAAAAUCGUUAAAGAUUAUGACGUAUAUAGGCUUUAGCUGUAAGAAUAGCAAUAUUUUAAGGUAUAAAGUACUAAUUUAUAUUAUUGACUAAAUUAUACUC